UGGUGGAGUGAUUUGUCUGGUUAAUUCCGUUAACGAACGAGACUUUGACCUACUAAAUAAUUCGGCCAACUUCGGUUGGUUUUUAGUUUCUUAGGGGGACAACCGAUGUACAAUCAAUGUAAGCUCGAAGCAAUAACA
Molecule: ribosomal RNA, 138 nt
Filed under: uncultured eukaryote
Lineage: Eukaryota
Description: partial 18S ribosomal RNA
Rfam family: Eukaryotic small subunit ribosomal RNA
Source: RNAcentral